GAUCAGCCGUAAACAAUUAAUUUACACCAAUCAGCGCCAGUGGAAUUACGAGUCCUAUUGCUUAAAACCCAAAGGACGGUGUCCCACCCCCCUUAGAGGAGCCUGUUGUAUAAUCGAUGAUCCCCGCUAUACCCUACCAUUCCUCGCCUCAGUCUGUAUACCACCGUCGAAAGCCUACCCUGUGAACGUCCCAGUAAGCCCAAUGACCCCCCUCAACACGUCAGGUCAAGGUGCAGCUCACGGAAUGGAAAGUAAUGGGCUACAAUUUCUAACAUAGAACAAACGAAAGACCAUGUGAAACCAUGUCACGAAGGUGGAUCUAGUAGUAAAAAGAAAAUAGAGUGUUCUUUUUAACCCGGCUCUGGGACGCGUACACACCGCCCGUCACCCUCUUCGAUAGCUUUACUUCACGUUUAUAACCCUUUAUCCGCACCUUAGAAGAGGCAAGUCGUAACCAUGGUAAGUGUACUGGAAAGUGCACUUGGACUACAACAAAAUAUAGCUUAA
RNAcentral lists this ribosomal RNA (507 nucleotides) under Amolops loloensis (rufous-spotted torrent frog). RNAcentral describes it as "partial 12S ribosomal RNA". It matches the Rfam family "Bacterial small subunit ribosomal RNA", at positions 794 to 1533 of the family's 1533-position model. Lineage: Eukaryota; Metazoa; Chordata; Amphibia; Anura; Ranidae. The record is from RNAcentral.